This is a long non-coding RNA of Amphimedon queenslandica, 189 nucleotides long. RefSeq lists it as uncharacterized. The transcript has 3 exons. Lineage: Eukaryota; Metazoa; Porifera; Demospongiae; Haplosclerida; Niphatidae. The record is from RefSeq and is a predicted model, not a curated record.
GCUAAUUCCCCCUGCCCCCUCCUAUUGAAAUGUUCAGCUAAUGGUACAGGAUGUGGUGUUUGUCAUUCAAGGGAUCUGUUGUUCAGGUUUAGUGAAGAUGUGGUUACAUGUCCUAACUGCUCCUCAUACUUUCACUGGUUAUAUCAAGUUCCUGUUAAAGGUUCAAGUACAUUAGGUAUGUGUCAAUAU